This 676-nucleotide unclassified non-coding RNA is filed under the name Micranthes merkii. RNAcentral describes it as "sequence contains ITS1, 5.8S rRNA gene, ITS2". The stretch from base 289 to 443 matches the Rfam family "5.8S ribosomal RNA". Lineage: Eukaryota; Viridiplantae; Streptophyta; Magnoliopsida; Saxifragales; Saxifragaceae. The record is from RNAcentral.
ACCUGCGGAAGGAUCAUUGUCGAAACCUGCUUAGCAGAAAACCAUGUGAACAUGUUGYAAUACCCGGGAGGAGUGCAUUCUAUGUUCCUUCUCCCCCGAAGUCAGGAAUUGCUCGAUAYGUCUCCCACCMUUGCUCCAUGCAUGAGUGAGUGAAGUAUCGGGUGUCCUUGACUUCACAACUCACCCCGGCGUGAAUUACGCCAAGGAAAUUUUAWAAGAUUGAACUUYCUCCAUUGUUGUUUUUGUGCAUGCAAUURGAGGAAGYGUCAUCUUCAUGAUGUCUUUAAUGACUCUCGGCAACGGAUAUCUCGGCUCUCGCAACGAUGAAGAACGUAGCGAAAUGCGAUACUUGGUGUGAAUUGCAGAAUCCCGUGAACCAUCGAGUUUUUGAACGCAAGUUGCGCCCGAAGCCAAUGGUUGAGGGCACGUCUGCCUGGGCGUCACGUACCCACUUCUCCCAAAAACMUAUAUCUCUUAUGAUAUAUUCUUUUUURUCGAGAAAAAAAUGRUCUCCCAUGCAUCAUUUGUGUGGUUGAUCCAAAAUAGAGUACCGAGUGAUGAAACGUCACGAUAAGUGGUGGUAUAUAAGCCUAAUCGAGUCGAGCGUUUGUCAAUCGAGAUAUACUCUCAAUAAAACCCUUACACGUUGGAAUGACGCUAUUUCGCGACCCCAGUC